CAAGAAAUCAUCUAUCUGCUGGUUUACUCCCCAAAUGGCUGCAAUAACCAGGGCUGAACCAGGCAGAAGCCAGGAUCCUGGAACUCCUGGUCUUGGUCUCUCCACUUCUUGGGCCAUCUUCCCCUGUUUUCCCAGGUAUGUUAGUGGGGAACUGAACUGAAAGUGAAGCAACUGGGGCUGGAACCAACAUUGCAAUAGGACACGCUGGUUUAAAAAUUAACAGAAAAUUGAUCUCUGUUAAACAUAGGAGUGGGAAUAAGAGAGGGAGGAGAUAUAUAGGACGGCACAUGCUCACUCGGACUUACCUCCAAUGGUGGAACUAGAAAUGUGCCAGGGGAUUUCAACUCAAUCUUACCAAGGAGGCAGGUACCAAUGCCAGCACACUUGGUAAAGUGAUAAAUAUAAAUACACAACUGAUCAAAAAGAUAUGGUAAGUGUCGAAGAGAUUUCACAAAUAAGACCAGUGUAAGCAAAUAAUGAAGGAUAGAAUUAAAAGGGAGAGAAUGAUCCUGCGGGGGAAGCAAGACACACAGCAGACUCAUAGAAUGGCAAAUGCCCAAAACAGCACUCCUGCCUCAGAAUCAACCCUUGGGACAUUCGGAUCUGACUAAAAGGUCCAUGAGAGUCUCACAGGCAUGGAAAGCCAUGACAUGGUGGCAAAAAACAAUCUAAAUGAAAGAUCCUGGUGAACAAGACCCCAGCAGAAGGAACAGGCCAUCAAGGAAAGAGGCGCCUGUCUCUGAAGGGAGGAAGGAACCUCCACUGUGAUACGGCCUUGACUAAACAAGUACAGUUAGUGAACUCAAGGGGCUUCCAUAGCCUAGACAGCUCAUAGCAAGAAUCUCGGGUGAUUGCUGACAUCAUAAAUAAGAGUGCCAAUUGUUAAAUCAACAACGGGAGUCACUGGGUACAUGCUCCCCACGUAGGAUCUCUGCCCUUAAUGUGUUUAACUAUGAAACUUAAAAACAACACUACUAGUCGAACAAUACCCUAUACCUGGUUCAGUUGUGUGAGUGCAGCCUAUUGAAAUCCCUGCUUAGUAUAUACUCAGUUGAUCCUCAGUAUAUGAAGCACCCUGGGCUCUGUUACUGAAAGGAUUUAGGACAGAAGGACCAUCUAGUACAGUGGCGACGAGGUAGUCAAGUCUAGCAGAGCCUCAAGUUGAAAAAAGUGUCCAUUUCAGUGCUUUGAGGGACCUGGGAAGAGUACUUCUCUGGAUCUUGCUCUUGAGGCUAAUGAUGUAAGGUCUGAUACUCUUUUCUGAUGCUGGGCGGCAGCAGUGAACAUAGCUGCCAGUCAGCCACGCAAUCAUGAAAACAAACAACAACUGAUACUCUACAGCCUGCUGUGGUCUCAGUUGUCUGCCAACAGCUUCCAGACCUACAAAUUUCCAGGUCUAUCAGGAAGCAAGUUCACCUCUGAAAGCCAUCUCUGAAGACAGAGGGAUGCCUUUCCUUGCCCCAUCGUUGUACCAAGCAUCCAUGAACAAAGUGGACACAGUGGCAAGGCUGAGGUUAAAGUCAGGCUCAGUAAAAACGACUUCCAGUCUCCAAGACUGACCUGGUUGCAGCCACUGUGUAGUACCCGAUGUGUGAUGAACAAAGACCAACAUUGGACUUCUGAUAUUGCAUCAUUCCCUGGGUUGAAUGACCUAAUGGCAGAUCAAUUGCAAUGCGACACGUCCAUCGUAGAAGGGGCAGUGUUUUGUUCUUAAAGGAAUAAACACUUUGGUUACUGAAUCCCCUUCCUUACCUGCAGUGCUUCUGACCACUUAUUCAGAGUGCCUUACCCACAGCAUUGUUUCUGAUGUGUUGCUUCACAGCCAAAUAAAUGUGAUAAUGGAUCCAUGCUCCUGAAAUUCCCUGGUAUUAUCAUUUUCCCACUGUCCUGAACAGAUGGUCUGAUAGAAAGGUUUUUUGAAGACUCAGUUGUGGUACAAAGUAGGUGAUGUUACCUUGUAGAGCUCAGGCAAGGUUUUCCAGAAGACUGUGCAUGUUCUGAAUCAGUGUCCAAAUGUGGUGCUGUUUCUCCAACAGACAGGAUUCACAGGCUUAGGAAUGAAGUGGUAGAGGUAGGAGUGGCACCAUCCACCAUUACCCCUAGUGACCAUAUUCCUCUGGAACUUAAUUCCAGAGGGACAGUUGGACGCUGAUCAUCCAGAUCAAGAAGUGAUCAGGAAACCUUGUGCAAUGAUGUUGCUAUGAAGAAGAUAAAACAGAGUGAUAUGGUUGGAGGUAAUGGAUGGGGCACUAAGUUGGAUGGGAUCAGAGAAGACCCUCUGGAAAGAGAAGACAUUUGAGUAGAAAGCAACACUAUGGGAAAAACCCAGCCACAGGUAGGGACUUGGUAGUUAUUUCCAGAACAAUGGGCAACAAUAAAGCCAGGGUCUGGAAGUUAGCAGUGAGCUUGGCUUGUUUCAUAAGAUCAGAAGGAGAGAACAAGUAUGGUGGAUGAUUUCUGGACUCCCAUUAUUUAUUCUGUGGCUCUCCCUGAUUGUAACACUGAUUCAUAGCAGCCUACUUGAAGUCAUCAUGACACUUUAUUCAUUUUAUUUUAAUUGACACGUAAAAAUACACAUACUAAUGGGGUAUUUUUGAUGUUUCUAUACGUGUAUACACUAUGCAAUGUCCAUUCAGGGUAAACAUAUCUUUAUUCUCAAGCAUUUAACAUUUUUUUUGUGGUGAAAACAUUCAAAAUUCACUUGGAGUUAUUUUCAGAAAAAUUCUGAGUACAUUGUCUAUAGUGACCCUUCUAUACAACACAACACCAGAACUUCUUUUUAUUUUAUAUUUUAAAAGACAGUUACAGAGAGGUAUAGGCAAAGAGAGAGAGAAAGAGAGAGAGAGAGAGAAGAUAUCUUCCAUCCACUGGUUUACUCCCCAAAUGGCCACAACAGCCAGAGCUGGGCCAGUCUGAAGCCAGGAGCCAAGAGCUCUGCAGAGAGGAUGGCCCAGGCACCUCAGCUGCUGUUUUCCUCUGCUCUGCCAUGUUCAUUUGAUAAACACUUUUGCUGACACUCAAGAGCCAGUGGUUCACCUGCAAUGACAUAGACAGCCAAGAGGAGGUCUGAUAGGAUGGAUCCCAAGCCUCUUCCUUUAGUGAGAGAGUGAGAGAAUCAGCUGACUGUACACUUAGAGCUGUCUACAGAAAUUGCCCUUACUUCUGACAUCAACGGCAGGUUUAGAGCGUUCCCAGACCCCUGCUGCAUCAACAAUUCACUAGCAGCACUCACAGAACUCACUGGAAGGCUGUUAUCUUUCCAGUUAUAGCUGAUUAGAGGGGAGAGGUACAGACCAGAACCAAAUGAGGGCAGAAAUGUGUAGGACAUAGUCCAGAAAGGUACAAAGUACAAUUUCCAGUUGUCUUCUUCCUGGUACGGAUGCCCACUGGGGAAGCCCCUGGGGCCUUGGUGUUCAGAAUUUUACUUAGGGAUCCCUCCUGCAGGCAUGAUUGAUUAGUAGUCCAUGAGAUCUCAGUCUUCAGCCCUUCCAGAUGUUGACUGAUGCUGCAUGACCAGAAGCCCCAUCACAGGUCACGUUAUCACUGUGUAAUAUGGUCAGUCCUCACCUCUCCAGGUCACACUCUGAACUGUCCAGUGUGACUCAAGGCCCCUGAGGCACACCAGCCGAUCCUGCAGGCAUGACAUUCAAGUGGCCUGGAGAUCACUUCCUGGUAGCUGAGGACACAGGUCAAGCCUCUUUUUUAGGCAAGGUUAAAGUCCUUAUUAUACAUUUCUACCAGACAUUGCUUAACAGAUACUGAGCAUUCUGGCACCCAUUGCUCUUCUCUUAGUCUUCUAGAACCUUCUAUAUUGCUGUGGGUGUAGGAUGUCUGAGCUGCAGUGGCGUGGUCCUUCCUUGUGUAAUCAGGCACAUGUGUGCAUGAGCAGCUUGUUCUCACUCAGGUGAGGAGUUUCUUCCCCUGCUAGGUUUUCAGGGUGCACAGAGACAUUGGUGGGUGGCACCUGGGAUUCGUCAGUUCAAAGAUGUGAUGGUUACACUUGACGGUUGUUCUUAAACAGACAGAGCAGAGAGCAGACAAAGACAGGACACUGAAACUCCUAGGCCACCCCCAUGACAAUCACUGUGUCCCAACACUCAGGAUCAUCCAGGGGAUGCCUUCUUGAGCCUUUAGCCCUUCCUCUUUGACCAGAAAGUUGUCAGCUUUCCUCGAGGGUGGCUGCACUGCUUGUGAAUCCUCUCCGGGCCAUGGCGAUCCAGGCAGCUGCCCUUGUCCCAUUGUCAGGCAGCAGGCAUGUAGCAAAGAGGGAGUGGGUGCAGAAUUGCCUGAGGGCCUCAGUCCUAUGCAUACUGCUGCCUUCUGCAGCCUCCCAGGCUCUGGCUACCUUGCUUUAAUUUAGGCAAAACCACUUGGAAUGAUCACUGCUUGCAAUGACCCUUACUUCAACCUCUGCUCUUUCAGCCUAGACAUGUUCAAGCCUGACUCAAUCAGAAAUACCCCUCCCAGUUUCCUCCAUGCAGGGACAUUGUGAUGAAGUCAUUCACAUGUGGGGGCAGGGCCAGUGACAUUCCAUAUUGGAGUGCCAGUUGGAGUUGUGGCUGCUCCAUUUCUGACCCAGAUUCCUGAUAAAGCACCUGAGAAGGGGCAGUGGGUGGUAGUCCAACUACUUUGGCCCCUGCCACUCACAUGGGAGUGGAAGACCCAGAGGGAGUUCCUGGCUCCUGGCUCCUGCCAGGCCCAGCCCUGGCUGUGGUGGCCAUUGUGGAAGUGAAAAAGCAGAUGGGAGAAUUCUCUCUCCCUCAGUUUCUCCUUAUCUCUGUCUGUUACUCUGUCUUGCAAAUAAAUACAUCCUAAGAAAAAACACAUAGCGCUCUUUAAAGAACCAAGUUCUUCCAUCAAGUGGUUCGGGCAAAUUAUUUCAGUCUCUGAGCAGGCUUUCUCCUUGGUGAGCCUCCCAGGCUCUUGAGGAGUGUGCUUGCAAACACAAGUCUGUAAGACCCUCAUCAGCAUGUUAGCUAUUGUUUGUGGUGGCCACCAUGGGGGUAAAGUGAAGAGGUACACUGUCACGGGGACAUGACAGUUACUCACUCCACAUUUUCUUUUUCCUCCAAGGCUAACAUUUUCCUCUUUCCCUAUCUUAUGAUGGAUAGCAUUUAGGUACCUGAAUUGCACACACGUGUAGAUGCAUGCACACACACAUGCAGUGCACCAACUCCUCGCGCUCUCGUUUUC
Oryctolagus cuniculus (rabbit) is the source of this 5193-nucleotide non-coding RNA. The record is from RefSeq and is a predicted model, not a curated record. Lineage: Eukaryota; Metazoa; Chordata; Mammalia; Lagomorpha; Leporidae.